This 341-nucleotide ribosomal RNA is filed under the name Trichophyton tonsurans. RNAcentral describes it as "partial 25S ribosomal RNA". It matches the Rfam family "Eukaryotic large subunit ribosomal RNA", at positions 2963 to 3393 of the family's 3401-position model. Lineage: Eukaryota; Fungi; Ascomycota; Eurotiomycetes; Onygenales; Arthrodermataceae. The record is from RNAcentral.
UUAGACCGUCGUGAGACAGGUUAGUUUUACCCUACUGAUGAAGUUCGCCAGGCAUUGCCGCGACGCUACCAUCUGCCGGAUUAUGGCUGAACGCCUCUAAGUCAGAAUCCGUGCCGGAAAGCGGCGAUACCUGCCCCGCACGUUGUAGUUGGAUACAAAUAGGCCUCGGCCCUGAACCUCAACAGGCCGGCACCGGCGCCUCGGCGCCAGCUGGCGGAUUGCAAUGUCACCACGCGCGGGGAUAAAUCCUCUGCAGACGACCGAAGUGAGCAAGCGGGUCGUGUAAGCGGUCAAGUAGCCUUGUUGUUACGAGUCGCUGAGCGUCAGCCCGAUCCUUGCCU